CACGUAGGGUGUGAGCGUUGUCCGGAAUUAUUGGGCGUAAAGAGCUCGUAGGCGGUGUGUCGCGUCGGCCGUGAAAACCUGGGGCUUAACUCUGGGCUUGCGGUCGAUACGGGCAUCACUGGAGUUCGGCAGGGGAGACUGGAAUUCCUGGUGUAGCGGUGAAAUGCGCAGAUAUCAGGAGGAACACCGGUGGCGAAGGCGGGUCUCUGGGCCGAUACUGACGCUGAGGAGCGAAAGCGUGGGGAGCGAACAGG
This 254-nucleotide ribosomal RNA is filed under the name uncultured bacterium. Its description in RNAcentral is "partial 16S ribosomal RNA". It matches the Rfam family "Bacterial small subunit ribosomal RNA", at positions 524 to 776 of the family's 1533-position model. The record is from RNAcentral.